UCAAACCCUGCGUAGUUCCUAUGCCCUUAUCAGUCACAAAUAAUCGACAUAUAUACGUAAGUGGUACUGACCAAUUGUUGCUGGAUCUUCGAUCGAUCAUCAUGUAUAUAUGCAUGUGUUUUGGUUUUUGUGGAUGGUGAUCAGUGAUUUGCACGAUAACGGCUUAGAGGGUCCUAUUCCUGAGUUUCUUGGCUCCUUUCCGGAUCUAAAGUAACUGGAUUCAAUGGAACCGUACCUACUUAUCAAAGAACACGGAUUUGAAACUAGUGGUGACUGGUAAUUGCCUCUCCGAUUGAAGUCCAAAUCAUUUCCACAUCUACUGCCACCAGCAACAUGGCCGCCCAGCUGCUGCUUCUACUAUUGAUGCUGAUACUGCAAACCAUAAUUUCAGCUCUCUUCUAGCCUGUGAUCAGCUUGUACGGACUCGGCAACUAGUGCGACUCUCCCAUUUUUGUUCGAGAUGAUCAUGUUGCAGCCGCUCAUCUUUGUUCUCUCUUUUGGUGUCCCCUAAUCAACCGGCCUCCUGAUUCAGAUUUAUCUGCACAAUAGCUAGCUAGCUGAUAAACUCCUUUUUUUUUUUGGUUACAGCUGAUAUACUCCUAUUUUGUGCAUGCUUCUGCAAAUAAUAGCUAGUUUUUCUGUGUGUGUAAUUGUGUAUAUUUGACGACUGUCUGAAGUCUGAACCACUUGAAAUGCACAUAUUCCAAAU
Argentina anserina (silverweed cinquefoil) is the source of this 709-nucleotide long non-coding RNA. RefSeq lists it as uncharacterized. The transcript has 3 exons. The record is from RefSeq and is a predicted model, not a curated record. Lineage: Eukaryota; Viridiplantae; Streptophyta; Magnoliopsida; Rosales; Rosaceae.